GUGUAAUAAAAAAUAUGGUGAAUCCCGUUGCUGACUGUCAUUCAACAGAAGGUCAGGCUCAUAAAAUAUUAUGGUUUGUCCUCGUCCUUCUUUUUCAUUGGAUUUGGCACCAUCAGACGUCAGGCUUUUCCCCAAAGUCAAAAUGACCAUGAAAGGUAAAUGUUUUGAAACAGUUCGGGACAGUGAAGCAGCUGUGACAGCUCAACCAAAGAUUCUCUCCAAAGAGGACUCCCAGAACCGCUUCAAAGAGUACACGGAUGACUGGCUACAGAAGUACAGACAAGCAGGUGCAAAUUCUUCAUGUCACCCGGCCUGCAGAAGGCUCGAGAGCCAGCCCUCCUGGGAAAACUUAGUUGGUGAGGAGAGGCCACACGGACUUUGGAGACUUUGGAGAAUGAGACACUAUUUUGGACAUUUCAGCCACAAUCAAACUCCCAGCUGAAUGUUGUUGAGUCUUCUAAGCACUACAAGCAAAAGCAGCUGAAGAACUCCAGCUGAAUUCAACCUACAGAGUAAUUAAAAUGUAAUAAAUUAUAGUAAACC
Molecule: long non-coding RNA, 543 nt
Filed under: Fukomys damarensis (Damara mole-rat)
Lineage: Eukaryota; Metazoa; Chordata; Mammalia; Rodentia; Bathyergidae
Description: lncRNA (ENSFDAG00000024190.1)
Source: RNAcentral